This 1471-nucleotide ribosomal RNA is filed under the name uncultured Bordetella sp. Its description in RNAcentral is "partial 16S-23S ribosomal RNA intergenic spacer". It matches the Rfam family "Bacterial small subunit ribosomal RNA". Lineage: Bacteria; Pseudomonadati; Pseudomonadota; Betaproteobacteria; Burkholderiales; Alcaligenaceae. The record is from RNAcentral.
GGUUUGAUCAUGGCUCAGAUUGAACGCUGGCGGGAUGCUUUACACAUGCAAGUCGAACGGCAGCACGGACUUCGGUCUUGGUGGCGAGUGGCGAACGGGUGAGUAAUGUAUCGGAACGCCUAGUAGCGGGGGAUAACUACGCGAAAGCGUAGCUAAUACCGCAUACGCCCUUCGGGGAAAGCGGGGGACCUUCGGGCCUCGCAAUUAGAGCGGCUGAUAUCGGAUUAGCUAGUUGGUGGGGUAACGGCUCACCGGCGACGAUCCGUAGCUGGUUUGAGAGGACGACCAGCCACACUGGGACUGAGAUACGGCCCAGACUCCUACGGAGGCAGCAGUGGGGAAUUUUGGACAAUGGGGAAACCCUGAUCCGUCAUCCUGGCGUGUGCGAUGAAGGCCUUCGUUGUAAAGCACUUUUGGCAGGAAGAAACGGCACGGGAUAAUACCCCGUGCAACUGACGGUACCUGCAGAAUAAGCACCGCCAACUACGUGCCAGCAGCCGCGGUAAUACGUAGGGUGCAAGCGUUAAUCGGAAUUACUGGGCGUAGCGUGCGCAGGCGGUUCGGAAAGAAAGAUGAAAUCAGAGCUUAACUUUGGAACUGCAUUUUUAACUACCGAGCUAGAGUGUGUCAGAGGGAGGUGGAAUUCGCGUGUAGCAGUGAAAUGCGUAGAUAUGCGGAGGAACACCGAUGGCGAAGGCAGCCUCCUGGGAUAACACUGACGCUCAUGCACGAAAGCGUGGGGAGCAAACAGGAUUAGAUACCCUGGUAGUCCACGCCCUAAACGAUGUCAACUAGCUGUUGGGGCCUCGCCUGGUAGCGCAGCUAACGCGUGAAGUUGACCGCCUGGGGAGUACGGUCGCAAGAUUAAAACUCAAAGGAAUUGACGGGGACCCGCACAAGCGGUGGAUGAUGUGGAUUAAUUCGAUGCAACGCGAAAAACCUUACCUACUCCUGAUGUCUGGAAUCCCGAAGAGAUUUGGGAGUGCUCACAAGAGAACCGAACACAGGUGCUGCAUGGCUGUCGUCAGCUCGUGUCGUGAGAUGUUGGGUUAAGUCCCGCAACGAGCGCAGCAACCCCUAUUAAGGUUGCUACGAAAGGGCACUCUAAUGAGACUGCCGGUGACAAACCGGAGGAAGGUGGGGAUGACGUCAAGUCCUCAUGGCCCUUUAUGGGUAGGGCUUCACACGUCAUACAAUGGUCGGGACAGAGGGUCGCCAACCCGCGAGGGGGAGCCAAUCCCAGAAACCCGAUCGUAGUCCGGAUCGCAGUCUGCAACCUCGACUGCGUGAAGUCGGAAUCGCUAGUAAUCGCGGAUCAGCAUGUCGCGGCAGUGAAUACGUUCCCGGUCUUGUACACACCUCGCCCGUCACACCAUGGGAGUGGGUUUUACCAGAAGUAGUUAGCCUAACCGUAAGGGAGGGCGAUUACCACGGUAGGAUUCAUGACUGGGGUGAAGUCGCAAUAAGGUAG